CAACUCCAACUCCAAUCUGUCGAGCGACUUUCUCCUUGGUGUCCCUAUCAACAUCCGCAGGAUUUGGAAAUUGGUCAAAGGGACUGUGUGACAGUGGCAGCUGAGCCAGCCUUUUAGCCAGACGUCUCAGAAUUAGAGGGUGUUUAAAAAUGUCAUCAGAUAAUGUCAACGAAAACAAUUCAUUGUCGAUUUUUCCUUCUACAGUAGAGGACCCAUGAGAAACCGCAACAUGCGAGACCGAUAUACCGCCUGCAGCUCCCACUGAUACCGAACGAAUAUCACGCCAAAAGCUGCUCCCAGCAGACCGCGAUGGUCCAUACACCUUUACGAAAUCUUCCUGGAAAAUGGCUAAACAAGCCAUCUCCCUGACAUGGAAGGCCGUCUCCGGAACCUUCGUAUCUGGGUGAACCGUAAGGAUGUGGCGUUUCAUAUCAGCUGCGCGUUUAAUAGUUACAUGGCAAAAUGGACACUCCACUCCCAAGCGCUGAUGUACAGUCUCGACAUGUCUCUCAAAUUGACGUUGAGUUGCCAAUGUGGCAUGGCACAACCAACAAUUUUGGUGUUUCAUUCUGUAAAUUUACAAAAAGGUAUCAACGAAAAGUGUCCACCACCCUAAUAAAAAGGCAACACAAGUACUCAAAGGUCAAUUUCGAACAGACUCCAAUACGUCGAAUCGGGUUAUACAACCAAACAGCUUGGCCGACCGAAAAAAACCUCUUUUUCGCCUUGAUGUCAUAAUGACGCUUCUGAUAUGCUGUGUUCUUACGAAGAGACUUCCUCGCAAUUGUAUGACAGCUCACCAGGACCGUCUGUAACUGGCUACAAUAUGACUCUGGAUCACGUGCCUCAAUUGAAGAAUUUGGUGACCCGAUAAAUGCCUCUACUGGUAGGGUUACAUCACGCCCAAACACCAUUUUGUUGGGAGUUACACCAGUACUGCUGUGCACGGAAGCACGAUAAGCCAUGGUUAGCUGUGGAAGGUACUCAUCCCAUCUCUGUUGGUCAUCUUCACAAUAAAUGGCCAACAUGGAUUGAAGAGUUCUGUUGAAUCGUUCUGGACAACCAUUACUUUGGGGUCGAAGCGAACUUGUUGUUACUUUGUCGAUGUGAAGAAAAUCACAAAUAUCUUGAAAAAGCUGUGAAGUGAAAUUUGUCCCUUUAUCACUUAAAAUUUGUUGAGGACAACCAAACCGACAA
Long non-coding RNA from Dreissena polymorpha, 1197 nucleotides. RefSeq lists it as uncharacterized. The record is from RefSeq and is a predicted model, not a curated record. NCBI's taxonomy places the organism in Eukaryota, Metazoa, Mollusca, Bivalvia, Myida, Dreissenidae. The transcript has 3 exons.